UGGGGAAUAUUGCACAAUGGAGGGAACUCUGAUGCAGCGACGCCGCGUGAACGAAGAAGGCUUUCGAGUCGUAAAGUUCUUUUAUAUGGGAAGAUAAUGACGGUACCAUAAGAAAAAGCCCCGGCUAACUACGUGCCAGCAGCCGCGGUAAUACGUAGGGGGCUAGCGUUGUCCGGAAUCACUGGGCGUAAAGGGUUCGCAGGCGGAAAUGCAAGUCAGGUGUAAAAGGCAGUAGCUUAACUACUGUAAGCAUUUGAAACUGCAUAUCUUGAGAAGAGUAGAGGUAAGUGGAAUUUUUAGUGUAGCUGUGAAAUGCGUAGAUAUUAAAAAGAAUACCGGUGGCGAAGGCGGCUUACUGGGCUCAUUCUGACGCUGAGGAACGAAAGCGUGGGUAGCAAACAGG
This 403-nucleotide ribosomal RNA is filed under the name bacterium. RNAcentral's name for it is "partial 16S ribosomal RNA". It matches the Rfam family "Bacterial small subunit ribosomal RNA", at positions 355 to 776 of the family's 1533-position model. The record is from RNAcentral.